Molecule: long non-coding RNA, 2110 nt
Organism: Balaenoptera ricei (Rice's whale)
Lineage: Eukaryota; Metazoa; Chordata; Mammalia; Artiodactyla; Balaenopteridae
Exons: 6
Source: RefSeq, a predicted model, not a curated record
GGGGAGGGAGGGAGGGGACCUCCUCGCCCAGUCACUCACUCGAGGGGCGGGGGCAGCCAGACACUCCCCCACCGCCGGCCCCUCCCCGCGCCCGGCUCCCGCGCGCGUCCAGCACCCAGCCUCGCCCCUGGGAACGGCCUGCGGAGGCCGGGAGGGUGCCGCGGACCCCGGAGAAAGGGACCAGGAGAGCGGGGCUGCCAGGGCUGCAGAGAGGGAAGGCGGGUGAGGACGGGCGUGUGUGUGUGUGUGUGUGUGUGUGUGUGUGCGUGCGCGCGCGCGCGCACCCCGCGCCGGCCGGCCAGCGGGAAGGGAGACCCCGACGCGAAAGCUGCGUCCUGGGCCUGACACCCGGGCGGUGGCGUGGAAGCCACGGGGCCGCUCGGAGGUCGGGGCGGCCCAGCUCUGCGGGAAACCCAAGCCAGCCCUUGGGCCCAGCCGUGGGGCUGCGCCUGCUGGAAGCAGAGGGAGGGAAGGCCGGGCAUCCUCGCCGCGCCGCGCGGCCACUCCCUUCGCUGGGCCGGCGGGCGCUGCCCAGCGGCCCCGGCCCCUGACCCGCCACCCUGCCCUGGAGCCGCGGCGCCUGCAAGAUGAAUGAAGCGUUGGUCACUGGGCAGAAGCUGCACUGGGGAGGGGAAGGAGACACCGCCUGAGACUUCGCGCCCUGCGCCCCCUCUUUGCCCCUCCGGCCUCUUGGGACUAAAGGGCGGAGGCCGCGCCUGCAAGGCGCGUUUGGGAUGAUUGGGGAUCCACAAAGAUCGCCGCCCACCAUUUUACCUGCUCAGUUUUUUGUGGACACUCACAAGAGGUCAACCAGUUUCUCACUCUCUGGGAGAAGGGCUCAGUGACUGACACCAUAGAUUUCUUGAGAGCAAUACAAUGUAGGUCUCCUCUGAAUUGAUAUCCUCAGAAGUAACAGAAGGCCACAGAGCAAGCACUCCAUACAUGUAAACUCAGCCAGGUAUGAAGGAAAUAAAAAUCACCAUAAUCCUACCCUCCAGAGAGAAGUACUCAUACAGCGUUAUGGAUUGAAUGUUUGCAUCCCCAAAUUCAUGUUGGAGCCUUAAUCCCCGAUGCUGAUGGUAUUAGGAGGAGAACACAAGCAAACCGGGAAAAGGGCCCUUACCAAGAACUUGACCAUGCUGGCACUUUGAUCUCAGACUUCCAGCCUCCAGAACUGUGAGAAGGUAUGUAUUUUCUUUAUUUCAUUUUCAAAAUUGGAGUAGAUAGAAGAUGAAAACAUGGAACAUAGUCACUUGGAGCAAGAAGUGUUAGGAAUCCAUAACCAAGGAGUGAGAUUCAGCCACAGGUCAAAGAGAAGAAUGGAGCAGAGGGAGGGGAAUUCCAGGUACCUGGAAGGGGUCUGCCAAGCCCCCUGCGCCCCACCCCCCCGCCCCCAGGCUGUCUGCUUCCUCUCCUUCUUGUUUCAUGGCCUUCUCCAGAUAGUUCGCUUUCCAGCUUGGAGCCCCUUUUCCCAGGUCACACAACAGCGCCACCACUGUGGGUGUAACAGAUGAAUCUCCAGACGGUGAAGUCAUUGGUUCUUACUGGUAUCCGCUAGAGUCCUAUCUUGCUUCCAGCUUAUAUGUGCUAAUAGUAUUGUUAUUUCAUGUGUUGGUCUUGUCUCUCCAAUCAACUGUAAGCUCUGUGAGAACUGAAGACCUUGAUGUUCCUAUAGCACUCGAGCCAGACAGUGGGAACUCUAUACAGCCUUAGGAGUAAGGGUUGCUAUUAACUUAUUAAGUCACUAUGUGGGCUCCUCUCAGUGACAAUGGAAAGCAAAUAUUGACAUCCAGAAACUUCAGCAACUGUGAUAUAACCAAAGGAAUGUGGCUAAAGUAGAAAAGGAAAUUGUGUGCGUGUGUGUGCAUAAGUGUGGGUGUGUGUGUGAAAAAGAGAGAGAAAAACAGAAACAAACAAACAAAAAUUUUUCAUCUCUAUCCCAACAUUACCUCUUUGAAAACCCCCUCUCCUUCCCCUACUCCCUUUCAGAAAGUGAAACAAUGUUGAGGAGGUAAACGUAAAAAGUUGCAUCUUCCUUCACCAUAAUUAAGCAAGAACCCCUAAAAUAGCUAAUAAGUCAUUACACUGCAGUUCAAAAGCUGUACUGGUU